Molecule: unclassified non-coding RNA, 694 nt
Filed under: Chondrostereum purpureum
Lineage: Eukaryota; Fungi; Basidiomycota; Agaricomycetes; Agaricales; Cyphellaceae
Description: sequence contains ITS1, 5.8S rRNA gene, ITS2
Source: RNAcentral
UACCUGAUUUGAGGUCAAAGUCAUAAAGUGAUUGUCCAAUCUAAUGGACUGUUAUAAGCAAAGACAUUACUAGUCACCAAUACACCAAGGCGCAGAUAAUUAUCACACCAAGGCGACGGUUACAAGUCUCCACUAAUACAUUUAAGAAGAGCUGACUUCAAAAGAGAAGCCUGCAACUCCCAAAAUCCAAGCCUUGAACCAAUUUAAUAAAAAACUGAUAAGGUUGAGAAUUUAAUGACACUCAAACAGGCAUGCUCCUCGGAAUACCAAGGAGCGCAAGGUGCGUUCAAAGAUUCGAUGAUUCACUGAAUUCUGCAAUUCACAUUACUUAUCGCAUUUCGCUGCGUUCUUCAUCGAUGCGAGAGCCAAGAGAUCCGUUGCUGAAAGUUGUAUUAAGUUUAAAGGUCAAAGACCAGUAAAAUGACAUUCAUUAACAUUCAAUCAAGGGUAAAUAUAACAUAGACUAUGAACUACUAUCAAAAGGAUGCUCUGUAAGAACAAACCUCUCUUAACCACCAUUUUCAGAUGAGUUUAUUUCAUUCAUAGUCUACAAAGGUUCACAAGUGGAAAAGUAGUAAGUUACAAAAGGCGAGCACAUACUCCGAAAAGUCAGCUUCAACCUAUUGCAAGUACAUUCAAUAAUGAUCCUUCCGCAGGUUCACCUACGGAAACCUUGUUACGAUUUUUUACUUCC